This 25-nucleotide non-coding RNA is filed under the name Mus musculus (house mouse). The record is from RNAcentral. Lineage: Eukaryota; Metazoa; Chordata; Mammalia; Rodentia; Muridae.
UAACAUAAUGUUUUCAAAGGGUUUC